CUUUCCUGUUAAAUGGGCACACUGCUACCUGCUUCACAGGGCUGCUGAGAAGAAAGGAGACAGGCGCAUCCGCACACAGAAAGCACUCAGUAAAUGCUGUUUCCCCCCUUCCCCCUAUACAAAGAGACUGAAAGCAACCGCGGCUGCCCUGAGGUCCGAACUGGAGGGUGGGCGCAGCCGUGGCUGCCUUGGGAACCGCGCUGCCUCGACUCGGCUACCUCUCGCUGGGCGGUCUUGCGAAGCACUCGCUAAGCCGGGCAGCCCCGGGGUCGCUUAUCGGCCCAGGAGGCGCCAGCGAUCCUGUUCCCCUGCAGAGCUACGGGGACCAGAAGACGAAACAGAGCUGUCGACCCGGGAGCAUACGCUGCCCACCAGUGGAGCGCAGGUCAUCAAAGCCGAAUCCGAAUUUGAAUUCUGUGCGACUGAUUGCAGAGCUGUCUUGAGGCCCUGAGGACUGGGAUCUGCGACCCCCAGUAGACAAAAGUCGACUCUACCCCAGAUGCUAAUUUUCUCACGGCAGGCACCUGUUAAGAGGCUGCAAGUAAAAUAAAGGCUAGUUUCUGAGUUCAUGUAAGAAUCUGAGAAAUAACGGGGGUAAACUUUGACAAAGGGGUGUGAUCGAGACCUGAGGUCAUGAGAUUAAUGGGUUCUUAUUACCUCUUGCGGGGGGAGGUAAUAAAGGGGAGGGGCAGGUGGCCUGUGGCGUCCUGAAAAUUUUUCAUGCAUUCUUUUCCCGAGAACUAAACAUUGUCAACUCUAAUAUAUCUAUAGCGCAACUUGUUUCAAGGACAGUAAUGCUUUUCAUUUAAUAAUUUUCCAUUUAAUCCCUUUACUGCAUGGUCAUUUCUGUCUCUUAUAUUCCUAAGUUUCCCUUUAUAAGGAUUAGUCAGAUCAACAUUAUAUCUCUAACAAUGUUUGUUAGCUUUUUCACUCUCAUUAUACCUAGAGAAUUUAAUGGAAUAAACCAGAUUUUAUAUAUAUAUAAAUAUAUGUGUGUGUGUGUGCGUGUGUGUGUGUGUAUAAAAUUACUCAACAUUCAAGUAGUCUUGAAAAAAGAUGGGUAGGGGUCACCUUAUUUCCCUUCAUCAGUUACCAGUGUUCUCUUAACAUAAUGGAAGAGGCAGGAGGUAUUCCCACCUACAACUCAGGAUUCCUAUGUCCUAUGGGUUCAGUUGUGUCCCGCCCCCAAGAAAAAUAACACCAAAUGCAUCUAUUGGACUUCUGA
This 1225-nucleotide non-coding RNA is filed under the name Pongo abelii (Sumatran orangutan). The record is from RNAcentral. Lineage: Eukaryota; Metazoa; Chordata; Mammalia; Primates; Hominidae.